This 253-nucleotide ribosomal RNA is filed under the name uncultured bacterium. RNAcentral describes it as "partial 16S ribosomal RNA". It matches the Rfam family "Bacterial small subunit ribosomal RNA", at positions 524 to 776 of the family's 1533-position model. The record is from RNAcentral.
UACGUAGGGUGCGAGCGUUAAUCGGAAUUACUGGGCGUAAAGCGUGCGCAGGCGGUUUUGUAAGCCAGAUGUGAAAUCCCCGGGCUUAACCUGGGAAUGGCAUUUGGGACUGCAAGGCUGGAGUGUGGCAGAGGAGACUGGAAUUCCUGGUGUAGCAGUGAAAUGCGUAGAUAUCUGGAGGAACACCGGUGGCGAAGGCGGCAUCCUGGACCAUGACUGACGCUGAGGAGCGAAAGCCAGGGGAGCAAACGGG